AUAAUUUUAAUUAUAAACAUGUCAUUUCUAAUUUAGUAUUAUAAUUGCAUUUUAAUUUUAAUUAUAGUUUUUACAUUUACGUAGAUUUUUGUGGAAAUUAAAACAGAAGUUGUCUUCGGGAGUUCACAUUAUUAUAUUUUAUGGGAAAAGAAAUCGUGUUCGAAAAAAUUUAAAUUCUUCAUUAUCAGAAUUACACCAAUCUGAAAGAUUUCAUUUACAUCCAUUAGUGGGCAUUAAAACUAAAGGAUCUUGUGCUAAGAAUUUAUCAAAAACUGCCUAUUUAGCAGAUGAAGAACUCCCAAAAGAAGUACGCUUCGUAUUAAUGUGUUCUCGUACUACAGAAAUUCAAAAGUGUUUUGCUGAGAUCAGUGGAAAGGGAAGAAAUUGUGUGACUAUUCCAAAAUCAAGUAACGUGAUGAGAGACUUUUACAAUAUAGCUGCAGUAAA
Long non-coding RNA from Centruroides sculpturatus (bark scorpion), 447 nucleotides. RefSeq lists it as uncharacterized. The record is from RefSeq and is a predicted model, not a curated record. Lineage: Eukaryota; Metazoa; Arthropoda; Arachnida; Scorpiones; Buthidae. The transcript has 2 exons.